Octopus sinensis (East Asian common octopus) is the source of this 2179-nucleotide long non-coding RNA. RefSeq lists it as uncharacterized. The transcript is spliced from 2 exons. The record is from RefSeq and is a predicted model, not a curated record. NCBI's taxonomy places the organism in Eukaryota, Metazoa, Mollusca, Cephalopoda, Octopoda, Octopodidae.
UUCCUGAGACCCCUUUUGGAGCCCCCUACCUAACUAUAUAUAUUGUUAAUUCAAACAAACAUAAGGACGUGCUCACGAAAUAUAUUAGACGCUUGGUGAAGGGAAUACCUUUCCUUCCUUAAGUUAUUUGUGUAUAGAUAUCUCAGUCCUGUUGUAGUCUCUCUUGGAUAUAUAAUGUUCACAUGUAUUCACAGUUGCAGAUACAGGCAUGGCUGUGUGCUACAUGGUGUAGGCAUGGUUGUGUGGUUAAAUUCACAACCAUGUGAUUUUAGAUUUUUUCCCACUACAUGGCACAUGGAUGCCUACUACUAUAACCUUGGGUUGACUAAGGCUUUACUAAAGAAAUUGAUGACCAAAAGCUGUACCGAAGCCCACUCCUCAUAUAUGUGUGCAUGUGGAUGAUUGCAUUAUGAUGCACUUACUGUGAUUAUUAAAAAUAAAUAUUCUCUAUUUGUUAUUUUUAUAAUGUAAUGAUGUGUGUGUGUGUGUAUACACACAUACACACACAAUAGAUACCAAAGUCUUUCAGUAUAAAUUUGUAACCACAACAUUGUGGUCUUGGGAGGGGUUCAGUUCUGCUACUCUUUGGACAGGUGUCUUCUACUAUAUACUCAGGCUGAUCAUGACCUUGUGAGUGAAUUUAAUAGGCAGAAGCUAAAAGAAACCCAUUGUAUGUGCAUAUGUGUGUUGGUUUACAUUUGUACUCUAUGACACUCAAUGUCUGCUCAUUUCACACCUUCGUAGACUUGUGAAAUAAGUCAUCCUUUCAAAACAAGUAAGGUUUGUGACAAGAAGGGCAUCCAGUUGUAAAACAUUGCCUUGAUAAUAUAUUCAUCUAGGCCAUGCUAGCAUGAAAACAUGGAUAUAAAGUGAAUGAGUGAAUAUAUAUAUAUAUAUAUAUAUCAUGUGAUCACGUGACCGACCAGACCAUCAGAUGUUGUUACACAUUGCUGGUCACAAUGCAUUCGCAUUGUUUUAGCCUUCGAAUGACGACACCCUGCUGGUUAAGCUAGCAGGCCAACAGGAGAAAGAGUGGUGAAAGAGUACAGCAGGGAUCACCACCCCCUGCCGGAGCCUCGUGGAGCUUUAAGGUGUUUUCUUUCAAUAAACACUUACAACGCCCGUUCUGGGAAUUGAAACCGUGAGUCCACUGCCCUAACCAUUGGGCUAUUGCGCCUCCACAUAUAUAUAUAUAUAUAUAUAUAAAACCUUUGCCAGCCUGGAAACUGACACAUAUAUAUUUAUUUGUAGAGAGAGAGUUUAUUUAAUUUGUUACUGAUUGUAAUGCCAUUUAUUAGCAGAUAUGUUUGUGUGUGUAAAAUGCAUUGAGGCUGUUUGGCUUAGCAGUUAAGGUAUUGGACUCACAGUUAGGGUGCAUUAUGUAUGGCUUUGAGCAAAGCACUUUGUUUUACAGUGCUCCAGUCCACUAGGCUGAAAUGAGGGCAAACCACAGAGGGGAGUCUUACACUGUCAGUGACCUCAAUACUUCAGAAAUCUAGAUGAGCUCCAGCUUCGUGAGUCUGUAGGCCUGAGAUGGAUUUUAAAACAAAAAAAUGGAUGUGUGCAUAUACACACACACAUACAUGUAAAUGGGUUAAGGAAAAAUUUUCCAAUUAGCUGAACGAGGACAACAUUCCCAUUGAUGGGAAGCAGAGUAUUUAUCUAUUUUUCCUGUGCACCUGUCCUUCUCUUUCUAAACAUUUGUUAUUUAACAGUACUAUUCUGUAUCUACUAGGGUUGUUGUUGAUGCUGCACAGCAAGUAGCAGAUAUGUGGUUGAAGUCCUGCUGUGUUUUUUCUGUCUCAGAUAUCAUUUAUAGAUAGAAGUGUGUGUAUGCUCACAUGUGUAUUUGUGUACACCGACACAUAUGUAGGUGUACACAAAUACACAUAUGUAGUCUUGCUUUAUGUUAGCUGAAGUUUUACAAACAAGAGUCUUGUAAUCAGUGUCUUGUAAUUGUACUUUUCAAUUACAAGAAAUAAAUAAUUUUCUUGUAGAUCAGUCAACUUUUAUAAUAUUGAUUCACAUUUAAAGAGGGGUUUGAAAACCAAGUGUAACUGGGAGCUUAUACAUUCUUUCUAUGUUUACCCCUUUUGCUGUUUUGUAUAAGCCUGCUUUACAUAAAGGUAGCAAUUUGACUUCAAACAUUACUGAAUACUAUUCCAAAUUUCCACUGAAA